CCCCCUCCCCCCGCCCCAUUGCACGGCUCAGACACUCAGUCUUUUCUGAGGCCUGCUCUACACCUACAUAUUAGCUUGACCUGGCGAUGCCUCUCGGGGCGGCAGCAGGGAAAAGGGAUGGAGGCCAGGUGCAGCUCCCGCUCAGGAGCACCCCAUUGGCUGGCCACGCAGGGGCUUUGUUCUUGGCAGGGAACGUCGCGCAGGCCGCGGCUCUGCAGUGGCAGCCCUCCACGAGCGCGCGGCAGGCUUAGAGCGGGUGAGCAUGUGCGGAGUUAGGGGGGAGGCACUGCAGCCUGCUGAUGUAAAGCAAAGAGAGGAUAGCUGUGCACUAGGAGCCCCCCUUUCACUCCCCCCGCCCCUCUUCCCCUCAGCAGGGCAGGGGGGCGGUCGAGCGGAGGAAAGCAAAGCCAGAAGCAGCUCGCUAUGGCAAGUGCAGCGGAGGCAGGUGCCAUCUGGUCGCCCUCACCUCAGUGCCGAGCGGGAGAAGAGGACGAGGCUGGCUGGCUCAGGGAUGGCAGAAGCCAGUGGAGAGAAGACGUCGUUUAGAUUUACGGGUCACAGAUGCAGCAGUUUAGAAGCACCCGUAAGAGCUAUUUGGCUUAGCAAAGAUGCAGCAUGAACGAAGUGCACAGACCCUGCAUCUCAGCAGUUGUUCCAUGCAACCCCUCAGAAUGCGGCUACUCAUCUCUGUUCACCUGGCUGCUCAGCCCGCAGAGAGAAACAAACCCACAAGGUACGGAUCCUACUGCUUAUCAUUUUCCAAGACUAAAAGACCAGCCCUCAGCUGGCGCUUAUUGGCACAGCUCCAGAGUCUGGCCCUUAGAUUUUAAAUGGCACAAAACCUAGUGUUUUCUCCUCCCUACGGGCUUUGGAGUCGGAAGGCAGAGUCCUAGCAUUGUUUAAAUUAUUUAGCCCUUCCCUUUCAACAUUGCUUGGGUUAAUUUCAGAGUCAUCAAGCCGAGCAUCGAAUGACACAUACAUUGAGGAUAACUAGAAUUGUGGGAUCCCCAGAGCUUUUGGGGGGGGGGAGGGAGGAGCCUUGAUUCCUUCAGUCCCACUUUGCAUCACUGACACCAAGAGCACCCUCUGGGAAGUAUCACUCAGGUGAGAGCACAGAAAUGUUCACAGAGCAUAGCGAUGGGAAUGGUACAGACGGACAGACAGACACAACAACCCUAGUCACCACCACAGAGAUAUUCAAGCAACGCUGGUGUGUCUCAACACUGAGCUUUGGAAGAGGCAGCUUUUAAGGUAUAAGUUCAUGCUGCAAAAACAUUUAGCUAAGGAAGCUUGGGCCAGAUUUUUAAAGGUGUUUAGGUGCCUAACAUGGGAGCUAGGCCCUAUGUGGAAUAUUUUCAAACUUGGGUGUCACAGCUCGCACCAGUGUCAACAGCAGCUGCGGAUGCUCAGCAACUCUGACAGUCAGGCUAGAUCUACAAUAUGGGCUCUACAGCCGCACAGCUACAGUGCCACAGCUAUGUGGCUGUAGCACAGCCACUUCCUGCAUCAAUGAAACAGGUUUUUCCAUAGAUAUCGUUAAUCCUUCUCCCCCCACCACCCAAGAGGCAGUAGGUAAGUCGACAGAAGAGUUCUUCCGUUAACCUAGCUGCGUCUACCUGAGGGGCAUGGGCA
RNAcentral lists this long non-coding RNA (1632 nucleotides) under Chrysemys picta bellii (western painted turtle). RNAcentral's name for it is "lncRNA (ENSCPBG00000016072.1)". Lineage: Eukaryota; Metazoa; Chordata; Testudines; Emydidae. The record is from RNAcentral.